Molecule: ribosomal RNA, 497 nt
Filed under: uncultured bacterium
Lineage: Bacteria
Description: partial 16S ribosomal RNA
Rfam family: Bacterial small subunit ribosomal RNA
Source: RNAcentral
GACGAACGCUGGCGGCGUGCCUAAUACAUGCAAGUAGAACGCUGAAGAGAGGAGCUUGCUCUUCUUGGAUGAGUUGCGAACGGGUGAGUAACGCGUAGGUAACCUGCCUGGUAGCGGGGGAUAACUAUUGGAAACGAUAGCUAAUACCGCAUAAAAUGGAUUAUCGCAUGAUAAUCCAUUGAAAGGUGCAAAUGCAUCACUACCAGAUGGACCUGCGUUGUAUUAGCUAGUUGGUGGGGUAACGGCUCACCAAGGCGACGAUACAUAGCCGACCUGAGAGGGUGAUCGGCCACACUGGGACUGAGACACGGCCCAGACUCCUACGGGAGGCAGCAGUAGGGAAUCUUCGGCAAUGGACGGAAGUCUGACCGAGCAACGCCGCGUGAGUGAAGAAGGUUUUCGGAUCGUAAAGCUCUGUUGUAAGAGAAGAACGAGUGUGAGAGUGGAAAGUUCACACCGUGACGGUAUCUUACCAGAAAGGGACGGCUAACUACGUG